GUAUUGCUUCGGCAAUGCAUAUACUAAAAUUGGAAAGAUACAGAGAAGAAUAGCAUGGCCCCUGCACGAGGAUGACACCGCAAAUUUGCGAAGCGUCCCAUAUUUUU
Small nuclear RNA from Octopus sinensis (East Asian common octopus), 107 nucleotides. The record is from RefSeq and is a predicted model, not a curated record. NCBI's taxonomy places the organism in Eukaryota, Metazoa, Mollusca, Cephalopoda, Octopoda, Octopodidae.